Molecule: unclassified non-coding RNA, 561 nt
Filed under: Hevea brasiliensis (rubber tree)
Lineage: Eukaryota; Viridiplantae; Streptophyta; Magnoliopsida; Malpighiales; Euphorbiaceae
Source: RNAcentral
CUGGAGUGAUGAAACAGCUUGUGCUGCAAUGAGAUCAGCUGAGAGUUCUGUUGUCCCCCAACCUCCCUCCUCGAAGUAUGGUGCAUGAAGAUCUCUUCCAAAAGACCCAUACGAGAAUGACCAGUUGCUGUUUUCCAUUUCACUCCACUCACAUCCAGUUCCACAUGCAUUGGAAAUCCACCCAACACUUUCACGUGAAUGACUCAAGUGGUCCUGAUGCGGAAUGCAUGCUCUUUGUUCACCCAUUAAGAGAUUGAUACUACUAGCACAAUCCCAAGGGUUGAAACCCUCUUCUUUGUUUAGCACAAUUUUACAUGGAUCAUCAGAGUCCUCACCAAGUAAUACAUGCAGAGCAACAGCCUCUGCAAUUGCGGCACCCUCUUCAUCAAGCCUUUGUUGUUCUUCCUUCUUUUUCAGUUUCUUCUUCUCUAGUUCAGAUAUGAUGGCUGCAGACGUAGCAAGGGCUUUCUCCAAACGCCUCUUUUUCUUCUCAGCCUGUUUGAGACGAUCUAACUCUCCUUUCACCUGCUUCUUCUUCACUUUCCUCACAACAGGUUGCAC